Long non-coding RNA from Triticum dicoccoides, 1201 nucleotides. RefSeq lists it as uncharacterized. The transcript is spliced from 3 exons. NCBI's taxonomy places the organism in Eukaryota, Viridiplantae, Streptophyta, Magnoliopsida, Poales, Poaceae. The record is from RefSeq and is a predicted model, not a curated record.
CGGAGAUCCCCUCAUGGCCUCCAAAGUUCAUGCACGUACAAGGUGGCUUUCCUCAAGAAGCUAAUUGAUUCUGGCGAGAUGUGGCAACGGCACGAGGCUGAUUGCUUUCUACAUAGGACCGGCUUGCUUUGGUGGAUGCCCGCGCAUCUGGCCGGAAAGCAAUUCACAACAUGCAGGUGCCAGAUCGAUCAAGAUCGGCUUCACCUUCAUAUCGGCGCCCUUGGACAUUGCCACACCCUUUGUUGGAUCUCCUCGAUUGUCCAAUCGACUCCAUCCAGCGACAACAACAACUCCAAUAGGUUGGCUCAAAAUCUUCGUCGCUCAGCUUGAUUGUCCAAUCGACUCCUUUUAGUGAUCGCCCCACCUCUAGUAGGUAUUACCAUCUUAUGCAAAAAAGCAAUUAAUUUGCAUGAUUCAUUGUAAGCCAGACUAAUGAACUCCCUUGCCGUACUUACAUUUCCCUCAAGUUAAUAGUUUUGUGUUCAAGGUUUGAUUCGAACAGAACUCCUAACUAUACAUAUAAUUAUUUUUCCAGCUAUAUUGCUCCUUUAGUCAAUAGAUACCCACAUCAUUGAGGCCCUUAAGAAUGUGCUGGAUAGAGAUAAUAUACUAGCAAAAACAUUCAGAAUGGCAAGUCACACAUUCAAAGAAUGUGACUAUCACAAUGCCAGAUUAAAACUAACAAAUAAGUGUGGCACAGAUGGAAAACGACAUGGUAUGCCAUCUGCAACUGAAGUUGCAGCCUUGAUUGUGAAUGGUACACUAGAAAAAAAUACAUGGUAUGCCAUUGUUCAGUAUAAACAUAUUCAUCAAAGCACAGAUAAUAAAUAACAGGAUCACAUGUGGAGGAAAAGGUCUAUAUUCCAAACAUAAUCAUGUCACCAGUUGAAUGGGUGUGGUUGUUCCUUCUAAAAAGGAGACAAUACCCUAUCUCAUCAUGCUUUGCAAUGACAAUAAACAAAAGGCAGGAGCACUCUCCAAACAAGGUUGGACUAUAUCUACAUGAACAAGUCUUUACACAUGGACAUCUAUACGUACCAUUCUCAAGAGUCAGAAAAGGGGAUGGACUGCAAGUAAUGGUAAAUGAUAAAGAUAACAAUAAGGAUGUUGGGGUCAAGAACAUAAUCUACAAAGAAUUUUCUAAAAUUAUGAACUAAAAGUCUAAAAUACACACUGUAAGUGCAUCUAGUGCCCCUUAGUG